AUGUGCCUCUCGCUGGAAAUA
RNAcentral lists this small RNA (21 nucleotides) under Arabidopsis thaliana (thale cress). Its description in RNAcentral is "ATSL242140". Lineage: Eukaryota; Viridiplantae; Streptophyta; Magnoliopsida; Brassicales; Brassicaceae. The record is from RNAcentral.